RNAcentral lists this ribosomal RNA (1510 nucleotides) under Lactiplantibacillus pentosus. Its description in RNAcentral is "bacterial SSU rRNA". It matches the Rfam family "Bacterial small subunit ribosomal RNA". Lineage: Bacteria; Bacillati; Bacillota; Bacilli; Lactobacillales; Lactobacillaceae. The record is from RNAcentral.
GACGAACGCUGGCGGCGUGCCUAAUACAUGCAAGUCGAACGAACUCUGGUAUUGAUUGGUGCUUGCAUCAUGAUUUACAUUUGAGUGAGUGGCGAACUGGUGAGUAACACGUGGGAAACCUGCCCAGAAGCGGGGGAUAACACCUGGAAACAGAUGCUAAUACCGCAUAACAACUUGGACCGCAUGGUCCGAGUUUGAAAGAUGGCUUCGGCUAUCACUUUUGGAUGGUCCCGCGGCGUAUUAGCUAGAUGGUGAGGUAACGGCUCACCAUGGCAAUGAUACGUAGCCGACCUGAGAGGGUAAUCGGCCACAUUGGGACUGAGACACGGCCCAAACUCCUACGGGAGGCAGCAGUAGGGAAUCUUCCACAAUGGACGAAAGUCUGAUGGAGCAACGCCGCGUGAGUGAAGAAGGGUUUCGGCUCGUAAAACUCUGUUGUUAAAGAAGAACAUAUCUGAGAGUAACUGUUCAGGUAUUGACGGUAUUUAACCAGAAAGCCACGGCUAACUACGUGCCAGCAGCCGCGGUAAUACGUAGGUGGCAAGCGUUGUCCGGAUUUAUUGGGCGUAAAGCGAGCGCAGGCGGUUUUUUAAGUCUGAUGUGAAAGCCUUCGGCUCAACCGAAGAAGUGCAUCGGAAACUGGGAAACUUGAGUGCAGAAGAGGACAGUGGAACUCCAUGUGUAGCGUGAAAUGCGUAGAUAUAUGGAAGAACACAGUGGCGAAAGCGGCUGUCUGGUCUGUAACUGACGCUGAGGCUCGAAAGUAUGGGUAGCAAACAGGAUUAGAUACCCUGGUAGUCCAUACCGUAAACGAUGAAUGCUAAGUGUUGGAGGGUUUCCGCCCUUCAGUGCUGCAGCUAACGCAUUAAGCAUUCCGCCUGGGGAGUACGGCCGCAAGGCUGAAACUCAAAGGAAUUGACGGGGGCCCGCACAAGCGGUGGAGCAUGUGGUUUAAUUCGAAGCUACGCGAAGAACCUUACCAGGUCUUGACAUACUAUGCAAAUCUAAGAGAUUAGACGUUCCCUUAGGGGACAUGGAUACAGGUGGUGCAUGGUUGUCGUCAGCUCGUGUCGUGAGAUGUUGGGUUAAGUCCCGCAACGAGCGCAACCCUUAUUAUCAGUUGCCAGCAUUAAGUUGGGCACUCUGGUGAGACUGCCGGUGACAAACCGGAGGAAGGUGGGGAUGACGUCAAAUCAUCAUGCCCCUUAUGACCUGGGCUACACACGUGCUACAAUGGAUGGUACAACGAGUUGCGAACUCGCGAGAGUAAGCUAAUCUCUUAAAGCCAUUCUCAGUUCGGAUUGUAGGCUGCAACUCGCCUACAUGAAGUCGGAAUCGCUAGUAAUCGCGGAUCAGCAUGCCGCGGUGAAUACGUUCCCGGGCCUUGUACACACCGCCCGUCACACCAUGAGAGUUUGUAACACCCAAAGUCGGUGGGGUAACCUUUUAGGAACCAGCCGCCUAAGGUGGGACAGAUGAUUAGGGUGAAGUCGUAACAAGGUAGCCGUAG